AGCAGAUGUCACCAUCCCACAAGACAUGAAAUGCCAGGACCCACUGAGCCCCUGAUGAGGAAGUGAGGAGCCUAGGUUCCAGUCAAAGCUCUGCCACGCGGCAGCUGUGAGCACAGCCAAGCCGGCAUCUCCACCAGCCCUGGCUUCCUGUCCAUGAUCCUUGUACAUUUCUGAUUCUACUUGGCACACCUGGAAGGAUCAGCUAUCAUAUGUGAAAAUCAGCAUAUGAGAGGGAAUGGCUGGUGGAGAGGAAAGGUUUGCACAGAACCCCUGAGGGAGAGGAGAGGAACAGUGACUAUCCAAUGCCUGUGACCCUGAGUUGUGCCCAAGGGAGAGCCCCAGUGAGGGACACGUGGGCACAGAGCCACCUGCAGCCAAGAGCAGCCUCAGUGAGCAUCCUCGUGGAACUACAGCCAAUGACUCUCUUGAAUUAAUGGGCCGGGUGGGCUGUGUCCUGGUGGUCUUGACACGUUGGUGAGGAAGCACAGCUUCGUUCUAGGCUGUAAGUGUGUUCUUCUGAAAGUGAUAUGGAAAUUUACGGCAGUAGGCCUGCUUUUGGAGUUGUAGAACUGGAACAUUAUAAAGACCCUGGCCUCGAUGGACCUCGAUGGAAUGGACCUCGAUGGUCUCCAUGUUUAGAAUUGGAAUUCUUAAAUGGACAACGUCCAGAGAAAAUACUUGUCUGAAAUAAAUUUGUUAUGACAAAAAUCUCAAUUCACAGUCACUAUCAUGGAACGUCAAAAAGAUUAAUUGGCUCAAAGUUGUAUUCCAGUAGGCUUCAGGCCCCAAAGGGUGGGCUUUUAGCACUGGCCCCCUCUCACAUGUGCCCCCAACAGCUAUGCCGUGUGACAUUCCUUAGGAUACUCAGUGCAGUCGUUUGGAAGGUCAGCACGGUGGGUGGGGAGCUUUCUGCCUGUGUGCUUGGCUUCUUAGGCAGGUCCUUUUCUUUCUGGCUCUCCGUGAGUCUGCAGACAGGGGCAGCACCCCCUCGACUUGCGGCACCAGUCCUGCUGCAUGAGCACUUGUUUGUGACGUCUCCCUCUCUCUUCAGAGCUGCCCCAGGACAUCUGACUCAUUCAGAUUGGCAAGCCAAUGGCGGUGACACAAUGUUCAAUCUCCUGAAUCCAUGAGAUGAGGCCCAGUGCAGGCAAAGCUUUCACACUUUGGUGCCAACCCCUCCAGGACUUCCAUCUCUGCUCCAAGAAAUUUGACAUUUUCAAAAAUUCAGAAAUCAAUUGGAGUGGAGCCAGCUCUGUCAGCGGAUUAUUAACGGCCCUGGAGCUGACUGAUCGCGUUUGCACAGCCUUUCAAUAAACAGCUUCAACAACAACUCAGAGGAAAAGAAAGCACACACCCCAUCCAAUCGGGACAGACUUGAAGUAUCGAUUCCCCCACCUCCUUCCCACCCCCGGCCUUCAGAGCAAAUCGAGAGGAUUACACCAUGGUAGUUGAUGAUUGCCAGACCCCCAUGUCACCAGGGCCCAACUGUGUUUUGCUGGAAUAGCGCGUUGUCUGCUUUAGCUGAAAUGACUCUUCCAAGAUUUCCUGAGGCCAGGGCGACAAACAGCUGCAUCCUGGGGAGGGGCAGCAACGAAAGGAACGUCUGGCCGGGCCAGGGACUCCAGGGGGCUCUUCCUGACGCUCACUUCUCGGCUGCCUGGGAAAGUGCUGCCCUAAACCUCCACAGGAGCAGCCGGUCCUCCCAGAGCGCUGGAAACAGAAGGCAACUGGCCGCAGAGCCGGCAGCCUCUCUAGCCGGAGGGGCUGCGGUCUUUAGUGAGCUGCUUUCUGUUCCUACUCUAUCCUGUUUGUGGGACAGGCAGGGAGAACCACGGGAGAUAUUUCAGAGGACCCGGUCUCAUCAGUCUACACCCCUGAGUGUGCUCUCUGCUGACGUAAAGACAUCGUUGGUCCUCACCCACUGUGACAGAAGCCAGGACUGCUUGGUGACACACAGAUGUGGAUUUUCUUCUAUCUCCUAGUUGUUUCAAAAUUUGAUAUCUCAACACAAAUUAACUGGCUAAUUGUACAACACCCUCCCCCUGCC
Long non-coding RNA from Equus caballus (horse), 2047 nucleotides. Lineage: Eukaryota; Metazoa; Chordata; Mammalia; Perissodactyla; Equidae. The record is from Ensembl.